AUUGAACGCUGGCGGCAGGCCUAACACAUGCAAGUCGAGCGAGCGCCGGACUGGUGAGUACUGUAUGGGGACUGCCCGAUAGCGGGGGAUAACUACUGGAAACGGUGGCUACUACCGCAUACUGUCGGAUCACCCAUAUGGGAUGAGUGAGUCGGUUAGGUAGUGGCUUACCUAGGCGACGAUCCCUAGCUGGUCUGAGAGGAUGACCAGCCACACUGUGACUGAUGCAGGGCCCAGACGCCUACGGAGGCAGCAGGGGGGAAUAUUGCACAAUGGGCGCAAGUCUGAUUCAGCCAUGCCGCGUGUAUGAAGAAGGCCAUAGGGUUGUAAAGUAUUUUCAGUGGGGAGGCGUUGCCGGCAGAAGAAGCACCGGCUAAAUCCGUGCCAGCAGCGGCGGUAAUUC
Molecule: ribosomal RNA, 403 nt
Filed under: uncultured bacterium
Lineage: Bacteria
Description: partial 16S ribosomal RNA
Rfam family: Bacterial small subunit ribosomal RNA
Source: RNAcentral